This is a long non-coding RNA of Brassica napus (rape), 956 nucleotides long. RefSeq lists it as uncharacterized. NCBI's taxonomy places the organism in Eukaryota, Viridiplantae, Streptophyta, Magnoliopsida, Brassicales, Brassicaceae. The record is from RefSeq and is a predicted model, not a curated record. The transcript has 4 exons.
UGACCAAAAAACCUAAAUCCUAAUUUCUACAUUGACGCAGCUCUUCUCAUCUCCAUCUCUGACCUUCGAGCUCUCUCAUCUCCAUCUCCGAUGCAGACCUCGAGAUCUCUCAUCUCCGGCUCGAGCUCUCCGACUCAGGCUCGAGCUCUCUCUUUUCCGACGCAGACCACGAACUCUCUCUUCUCCGACGCAGACCACGAUCUCUCUCUCUUCUCCGACGCAGACCACGAGCUCUCUCAUCUCAGACGCAGACCUCGAGCUAUCUCAUCUCUGACGCUUAUCACGGGCUCUCUCAUCUCUGAAGCUUAUCACGAGCUCUCUCAUCUCUGACGGUUAUCACGAGCUCUCUUAUCUCCUCCGAUUUGGGUUUCAAGCAUUGUUGAGGAUCUCUCAGGCUUCUCCAUAACAUCUGGAAGCUUUGUGAAAGAUAUAACUCUUUACCUUGUAGCUUGUUGUUGAAAGAGUUUGUGUGAAUCUUUGAAGUACUCUCUGUUUCCAUAUAGAGAAGGUGUUGGAGUUCGUUGCAAAGAAAGAAAGUCUGCAACUGCCCCAUGGUUUUACAGCAUUACAAGUACUCUUAGUUAUAUGACGAAUUGUUUUAUCCUGGUGAUAAAGAUACAGAAGCUCACAAACUCUUUAGGAACUAUGUUUCCAUCAUUACUUGGAGUUUUAAGAGCCAAUUGAUUUCCUUCUACAGAAGCAGUAGCAGAAGACGGGUUAAUGGUGAGCUUGAAGAUGAACCUCUUCACAUGAACAUUAUCAUUACUGAAAAAGAUGACUGCUACUCUUUCAACAAGACCAUGUUACAAAUAUUGUUCAUACGUCAUUCUAUAAUGAUUAUAGAAACAAAGGCUGAUCUUUGAUGUGGGUUUUCAAUAAAAGUUGUUUUAAAAUAUUACACCAAGAUGAGAUAUUUCUGUUAUUAAAUUAAAAUUUGAAAAUACAAUUUAUAAUUA